This 449-nucleotide ribosomal RNA is filed under the name uncultured bacterium. RNAcentral describes it as "partial 16S ribosomal RNA". It matches the Rfam family "Bacterial small subunit ribosomal RNA", at positions 29 to 523 of the family's 1533-position model. The record is from RNAcentral.
AACGAACGCUGGCGGCAGGCCUAACACAUGCAAGUCGAGCGAGGACUUCGGUCCUAGCGGCGGACGGGUGAGUAACGCGUGGGAACGUGCCCUUUGCUACGGAAUAGCCCCGGGAAACUGGGAGUAAUACCGUAUGUGCCCGAGAGGGGAAAGAUUUAUCGGCAAAGGAUCGGCCCGCGUUGGAUUAGGUAGUUGGUGGGGUAAUGGCCUACCAAGCCGACGAUCCAUAGCUGGUUUUAGAGGAUGAUCAGCCACACUGGGACUGAGACACGGCCCAGACUCCUACGGGAGGCAGCAGUGGGGAAUCUUAGACAAUGGGGGAAACCCUGAUCUAGCCAUGCCGCGUGAGCGAUGAAGGCCUUAGGGUUGUAAAGCUCUUUCAGUGGGGAAGAUAAUGACUGUACCAGCAGAAGAAGCCCCGGCUAACUCCGUGCCAGCCGCCGCAGUAA